This 509-nucleotide ribosomal RNA is filed under the name Rhizophagus intraradices. RNAcentral's name for it is "SSU rRNA". It matches the Rfam family "Eukaryotic small subunit ribosomal RNA", at positions 569 to 1078 of the family's 1831-position model. The record is from RNAcentral. Lineage: Eukaryota; Fungi; Glomeromycota; Glomeromycetes; Glomerales; Glomeraceae.
AGCAGCCGCGGUAAUUCCAGCUCCAAUAGCGUAUAUUAAAGUUGUUGCAGUUAAAAAGCUCGUAGUUGAAUUUCGGGGUCAGUAGAUUGGUCAUGCCACUGGUAUGUACUGGUCUCACUGAUUCCUCCUUCCUGAUGAGCCGUAAUGCCAUUAAUUUGGUGUUGCGAGGAAUCUGGACUGUUACUUUGAAAAAAUUAGAGUGUUUAAAGCAGGCUAACGCUUGAAUACAUUAGCAUGGAAUAAUGAAAUAGGACGUCCGAUCUUAUUUUGUUGGUUUCUAAGAUUGACGUAAUGAUUAAUAGGGAUAGUUGGGGGCAUUAGUAUUCAAUUGUCAGAGGUGAAAUUCUUGGAUUUAUUGAAGACUAACUACUGCGAAAGCAUUUUGCCAAGGAUGUUUUCAUUAAUCAAGAACGAAAGUUAGGGGAUCGAAGACGAUCAGAUACCGUCGUAGUCUUAACCAUAAACUAUGCCGACUAGGGAUCGGAUGAUGUUAAUUUUUUAAUGACUCA